GUCCUGCUGCUCCAAACCCCUGCCAAGAGCCUCUGUCCAUUUUUCCUGUAGGUGCUGAAAUCCUGAUGACCUUUCUGAGGAAUUGGUGAUUGGCUGUGCAUUCUGUGGUGUUUUGGGAUAAUGGGGAUUGAUAUUCAGCAGCAGUCUGACGUGGGAAUUGGUAACAGCCUCCCAGAAGAAGAGGCUUGUUGGGGAUGUGUAAUGAUGACGUUCCUGCACAGCUGCUUUUGUGAGGGGGGAUAAUUUGGCAGCCCUGGAGCUGCUGUUGGCCCUGUGGUUGGUGGUGAAAUGAUGGAGUGAACGUUCCCCCAGAGCUGCUCUGGGGUGAGCUGGUGCCAUUGCACUGCGCUGCCUCCAUCAAAAAAGAAAUUAUUUGGUUUUCCUUAAACCUUUAGGAAAAGGAAUUCAUGCUCAAAUGGCCUUAGCUUUCAUUUUUCCUACAAAUAAUGUUGGAUCCUAUGUGAUAAUUUAUCCACAGAAACACUUUUUUAUCCUGCCCUACUCCUAAUGAGCAAUUUCUGCAGACAGAAAAUCCUUAAAUGUGGAAAGGCCAGAGGCUGGUACAAGCUAAACAGAGGAAGAUAAAGAUCAAAUACAAAACCACGGUGUAGCAAGAUAAGAGGCAACAGAGCCUCAGAACAAAAUAUUUAGAUAAGGAUUAUGUGGGACACUGCAGGGGAGGGGGUUGGAAGUUGAGGGCUCUGUUUUCCUCCCCACAUCCCUCAUCCUCCCCAUCCCUCUCCAGCCUCUCCCUUUGGAUUUUGUCCUUGGAGCUGCUCAGAAGUUGUCACUGAGCGAGGACAGUGCUGCAGAGCCACCAUGGAAAGGAGCCUGGCCUGGCUGGUUUGGAAUAACAACAAUUCCCUGGCCCUGCUUUCCUGCAGAGGGGGAAUUGUGGGCUGUGCAAUCUCAGCGCAGUCCCUGAGGGAGGCUGGAGCCCAGCCCUUGGGUAAAACCAAACCAGUGGUUUUAUCUUGAAUGGAGAGAACAGGUGGAAGUGCUGUCAGCCAGCGUGGGCAGCAGGAAUGGCAGGAAUGCUGCCCACAGGAGCCUGGGGACCUGUGGGAAGAGAAAAUGAAAGGAAUCUGGUUAUCCAAGACAUUUCCCCACUCGGUUUCCCUGAAGUCCUGUGCCCAGCAGUGACUGCAGCAGGCAAAGCAGCAAAAACCCAAUUACACCUAAAAUAUACACUGAAUCUGCUUAUCCAAGAAAUUUCCCCACUCGAAUUUCCUGAAGUCCUGGACCCAGACACCUGCAGAAACCCAAAAGGACAGAUGAGGGCUCCAAGGGCCAGAAACAGCAGGAGAGAACCCCUGCCUUCCCAUUUUCCAUGUUUUCCAUGUUUUUAUGGGCAGCAGCCAGCUGCAGAUGUUGGGGACAAGAGGAGGGACCUGGGGAAGGAGCAGAGCUGAUUCCAGAGCUGAUCCAAGGGGCUCUGCCCUGUCCCACCCUGCUCCCUGGCAGGGCAUCCCACGGACGUGGAGCCCUCCCAGGUCUGGCCAUGGAUGCACACCCAAAGCGGCUCCUUUGGCCCAGGGAUCACAGGGCCUCCAAUUCCUGCAUCACAGGGCUCUGCUUCUCCUCUGCCUGUGGAACCCCUCUCCUGUAAGCACAGACCUGGUGCUCGGUUUGUUUAUUUCUCUGUACAAACCUGGUGCUGGGUUUGUUUAUUUCUGGUGGGUUUGGUUAUUUCUGUGUUCCAUACCUCAGCUGAGGACAUUCUUUCCUCACCACAUUCCUGGCUGUGGACUCGAAGCUGUGCUGCCCGCACGCCUUGGGAGCGUUUUCCACGUGGAAAUGUGACAUUGCACUGAAUAAUUUGCAUUACCUGGCCCUUCCUUCCAGGAACCAGCAGGGCUGUGGGUGCUUUGGGUGGACAGUUUCCUUUUCGUGGCUUUAGCUUUGGCUUUGAGCACGUUGUGCAGGCACCUAAAGCUGUAAUUAAAUUAAUGCCAUCACAGGCAAUGCCUGGUGUUUCCACACAAGCAAAAACCCCAGAAUAUUUCCUUCUUCCACAGCACUCCUAGGGCUUUGCUGGGCCAAAUUACAAGUUUAUUUUUUAACUUGUAUUUUUUUUUAGCUUGUUCAAAGAGGUGGAGAAAGCAGCAGCACAUCAGCCUCUCCACCAGCUGUGAGCUGUGACCAUCCAGCCU
This is a non-coding RNA of Zonotrichia albicollis (white-throated sparrow), 2153 nucleotides long. The record is from RefSeq and is a predicted model, not a curated record. NCBI's taxonomy places the organism in Eukaryota, Metazoa, Chordata, Aves, Passeriformes, Passerellidae.